UGGGGAAUAUUGGGCAAUGGGCGAAAGCCUGACCCAGCGACGCCGCGUGGGUGAUGAAGGCCUUCGGGUUGUAAAGCCCUGUCAUGCGGAAAGAGCGACCCUGUGACGCAUACUCACAGGGAGUGACGGUACCGCAGGAGGAAGCACCGGCUAACUCCGUGCCAGCAGCCGCGGUAAUACGGAGGGUGCAAGCGUUGUUCGGAAUUAUUGGGCGUAAAGGGCGCGUAGGCGGUAAUGUAAGUCAGAUGUGAAAUACUCCGGCUCAACCAGAGAACAGCAUCUGAAACUGCAUAACUAGAGUACAGAAGAGGGAAACGGAAUUCCCGGUGUAGAGGUGAAAUUCGUAGAUAUCGGGAGGAACACCAGUGGCGAAGGCGGUUUCCUGGUCUGAUACUGACGCUGAGGCGCGAAAGCGUGGGGAGCAAACA
This 428-nucleotide ribosomal RNA is filed under the name uncultured bacterium. RNAcentral's name for it is "bacterial SSU rRNA". It matches the Rfam family "Bacterial small subunit ribosomal RNA", at positions 355 to 774 of the family's 1533-position model. The record is from RNAcentral.